GCAAACUUGGUCAUUUAGAGGAAGUAAAAGUCGUAACAAGGUCUUCGUAGGUGAACCUGCGGAGGGAUCAAUGAUGAAUGAUAAAGCGUGGUUUCAUUGAAACCCACGUCUUUUCUUCUAAUCUUUACACCCUUUAGUGCAUUGAAAUUCUUAAAAGUCUUAGGAAAUUUAGAGUGUAAACUUUAAACCGUACUUUGAUUUUUAGAAACCCUUUAUGAAUGUAAAAAGUUGUGGUAAAUGACCAUAUAAUAAUAGUGAAUACAACUAUUAACGGUGGAUCUCUUGGCUCUCGCAUCGAUGAAGAACGCAGC
Molecule: unclassified non-coding RNA, 311 nt
Filed under: uncultured fungus
Lineage: Eukaryota; Fungi
Description: partial contains small subunit ribosomal RNA, internal transcribed spacer 1, and 5.8S ribosomal RNA
Rfam family: Eukaryotic small subunit ribosomal RNA (bases 1-73)
Source: RNAcentral